Molecule: long non-coding RNA, 780 nt
Filed under: Cavia porcellus (domestic guinea pig)
Lineage: Eukaryota; Metazoa; Chordata; Mammalia; Rodentia; Caviidae
Description: lncRNA (ENSCPOG00000038448.1)
Source: RNAcentral
CAGGGGGCGCUGCGGCGGCCCCCACCGUGUCCGCGCCCAGCCGCCUGCGGUCUACGCGGUCCGCUGUGCGUCUCCGAGUGUGGGAACUGCGUCUCGGGUUGGAGCAGCGCAGCACAGAUUGGCAGCCAGGUGUGGACAGCCCGCUGCGCCCCCACCCCGGCCCGGCCGAGCGCUCUGCUUCCCGAGCGAGCGCAGGGCGGAGAAAGAAAGCCUUGUGGUGCUCUGAGAGGCCGCGGGGAGAGAAUGCAUGCAGCCUCGGUCGCUGAACUCCAAAACCUUGCGCACCACGCUUCUUUGAUGACCCUGCCGGACUCCUGGAGGAGGAAUCAUCGGGUCUACUGUUGUCUCCGUUGUGCUAGGACUGUUUUCUUCAGAAACAUCAUCGGUUUGAUCAGAUACUACUUUAUCAGUCUUGGCUCAGAGAUCACUGCUGCUUUUCUGAAGAACUUUUGUGGCUUCAUGCUCAGGUACUUCUGAUGGAGUGAGCUAACAUCAGAACUAACUGUCAGGGUCAUCUCUUUUUCUCAAAAACUGGUCAGUGCUAACAUCGCUUGACAUUAACAGCAAAUCCUCCUCACUAUCUGAAGAGUUAGCAUCAUUGGAAUUGUAAUCUCACAUGAAGUUAUAUUUUUGGAACAUUGGCUCAUCUUCAAUUCCAUUUCCUGACCAACAUGCUGUAUUUCUUUUUCCUUUUCCUCUUUAUCUGCCCCAAUAUUUGAAUCUCAUAGGAAGAUUUUCUUUGAGCUAGUUUCCUGGGCUGCUAGACAGGUAACAUCUUUG